CCUACGGGUGGCAGCAGUAGGGAAUAUUGGUCAAUGGGGGAAACCCUGAAGCAGCAACGCCGCGUGGAGGAUGAAGGUUCUCGGUUUGGUAAACCCUUUUUGUAGCGAAGAUAAUGAUGGGAUCCAACGCAUGAGCACCGUCUAAGUCGGAGCAAGCAGCCGCGGUAAUACGGCGGGUGCCAGCGUUACUCGGAAUCACUGGGCGUAAAGCGCGCGUAGGCGGGUUAGCAAGUCAGAUGUGAAAUCCUAGGGCUUAACCACAGAACUGCAUUUGAAACUGGUAGUCUAGAGUAUGGGAGAGGUAGGUGGAAUGCUUGGUGUAGGGGUAAAAUCCGUAGAGAUCAAGAGGAAUACUCAUUGCGAAGGCGACCUGCUAGAACAUAACUGACGCUGAUGCGCGAAAGCGUGGGGAGCAAACAGGAUUAGAUACCCGGGUAGUC
RNAcentral lists this ribosomal RNA (440 nucleotides) under uncultured bacterium. RNAcentral's name for it is "partial 16S ribosomal RNA". It matches the Rfam family "Bacterial small subunit ribosomal RNA", at positions 338 to 795 of the family's 1533-position model. The record is from RNAcentral.